RNAcentral lists this unclassified non-coding RNA (395 nucleotides) under uncultured fungus. RNAcentral's name for it is "partial contains 5.8S ribosomal RNA and internal transcribed spacer 2". The stretch from base 1 to 133 matches the Rfam family "5.8S ribosomal RNA", at positions 22 to 154 of the family's 154-position model. Lineage: Eukaryota; Fungi. The record is from RNAcentral.
UGGCUCUCGCAUCGAUGAAGAACGCAGCGAAAUGCGAUAAGUAAUGUGAAUUGCAGAAUUCAGUGAAUCAUCGAAUCUUUGAACGCAUCUUGCGCUCCUUGGUAUUCCGAGGAGCAUGCCUGUUUGAGUGUCAUUAAAUUCUCAACCCCACCCGGCUUUUGCGAGCUCGGGCUUCAAUGGGGCUUGGUAGUGAGGGAAUUUGCUGGCUUCCUCAGGGAAGCCAGCUCCCUUGAAAUGCAUUAGUGGUACCUUUUUUGCGGUAUUAACGACUGUUGGUGUGAUAAAUAUCUACUCCAUCUGGUCAGCCGCUCGGUCACACCGCUCUCCAACCGUCCGCCCCGUCGGACAAAUCUCAUGACAAUUUUGACCUCAAAUCAGGUAGGACUACCCGCUGA